Molecule: non-coding RNA, 602 nt
Organism: Musa acuminata subsp. malaccensis (wild Malaysian banana)
Lineage: Eukaryota; Viridiplantae; Streptophyta; Magnoliopsida; Zingiberales; Musaceae
Source: RefSeq, a predicted model, not a curated record
CUUGAUUGGGAUAUUUCUUGGCAUCCGAGCUCCGUUGGCACCCCAUUUCAUCACUCGUUUCCGCAUAUGCUAAGAACCAGAUGGGAGAGAAUACCCAAUGCGAGAGAACGAUCGCAAGGAGAUCGAUGAAGAGGACACCAUGGAGCAGAUUCCCUCGGCGGCAUCCACCCAAGAUCACAGUACAUUGUGGGACUAGGAGCUAGGAAGUAAGAGCAAAAGAUAUAUGCGUGACUGGUUACAACAUGGCCCAGUUUGUGGGCCAUUGAUGUUGAGAAUUCCAGUGAGGAUAACUAUUUUCAGGUAGUUCUGGUGCAACGCGUUUAGUUCUGUUCUAUAUGGGCAACAAAAGUGUGUUUCCAAUUUAUUAUCACCUAACUCUGUUUUCUACCAGGUCGUGUAUGGCCAGAAGAUAAAUGUGUGACUGGCCACAACAUGGCUUAUUGUACAAGUUAUUAAUGUUGAGGUUAGCUUUCAGGCUAAUUCUAGUGCACUGUGCUUAGGUUAUGUGUUGUAGGAUCAGUGGGUUUUGGUAUAGCCUUAAUGCAUCUUGCUGUUAUGUAGUCAAAUAUCCUGUUAUUCUUGAGAAAUGCUAUUUUGUUGUA